Molecule: non-coding RNA, 26 nt
Filed under: Homo sapiens (human)
Lineage: Eukaryota; Metazoa; Chordata; Mammalia; Primates; Hominidae
Source: RNAcentral
UGAUCAGUCGACCUUAUGACAUUGUU